Bos taurus (domestic cattle) is the source of this 1535-nucleotide long non-coding RNA. The record is from Ensembl. NCBI's taxonomy places the organism in Eukaryota, Metazoa, Chordata, Mammalia, Artiodactyla, Bovidae.
CUUCAGCAAAUCCAACUAGUCUUUUUCUUUUGUACACCUGAGUGUGUCCAUGCGACGGUGAAGUGUCACCAGUGACUCUGGCCAAGCAGGUGGGCGCUGAGAGAGGCCCACCUCCCUUUUCCCUGCCUGCCACAAGCCUGCAGGCGGGGGCGUCUCUCCUGGGAGGACAGUGCCGCCCACCGCCCGGGACAGAGGCUCUGGGGCUCUCACGGCUUGCUGGGGCAGACGGCUGGCAGCGUUAUUCUCCCAGCCCCGCUCUGAGGGCCAGGCCCAGGCCACCCCUGGCGGAGGAGCCCUCCGGAGGCGUCCUGAGCAAGGGGCUCACGGAACUCUCUCCAGCUGGGAGGGCCUCCGUCCGGCAGGCCUGGGCCUGGAGGGGCUGGACCCCGUCAUGGCCUGGGCUGGGCAAGGCUGCUGCAGGGUGGCCCUCUCAGCCUCCGCUAACCCACCUAGCCUCUUGCUGACAGUGCCAUCAUCCUCACCUGUCCCUCUUUCCAAAUCUCUCAGACGGCCCUUCCAAACAGGUGUCCUCCAAACCUGUGAGCCUGGGAAUUUUGGUACAGGUUCACCUCAUCUCACAUAAUUGCCAGGGAGCAGCAUCUUCAAAUGAAAUCCUACCCAGAGGCUGAGUGGACAAGUCAAGGGAGAGGGGGCAGCUCCAGUUGAAUCAGGUGGAGAACCCAGGUGGAGAAGGUCCACCCGCCUGACGCCUCAUGCAGCCAGCUUCCUGCGUUCCCCCUUGAAGACCCUAACACGUUCAUGGAAUCCUCAGGUUGAAGACCAUCGCUGUCAAAGUGCCAAGAGCAUGCCCUCUUACCUGUAGUUCCACCUCCAAGACUCCAAAUACUCCCAGCUGAGUACACACAUUCAACACGGCUUUGUUUGUGACAGCAACUUAUAAAAAUGAAAACCAUUUAGUCCCCUGCCCUCUAUAUUGUCAGUGGAGAACAUAGGAAGAAGCUAGACCUCGCCCACUGCUUGGCAGGAAGAGUGCCUCCCUCCGCCUCCCAGCGGGGCAGCACCAUAGAAGGCUAGUGGUGCUGGGAUUCCCACGCUAGACCAGCAGUGAAUGGAGCUCCUCUCCCCUCGGGUGUCAACAAAGGCCAAGGGCAGGUCCUGAACUUCCACCUCUGCCUGGCAGGGGAGGUGCUGUGUCCCCCCUCUGCUGCCUUUUGUUGCAGGAUCAAUCUCAGAAAAAGCCAGCUAAAAUAUAAGUUUUCAAUAGGAUCCAGAUUCUCACAGCAUAAUACCCAAAGUGUCCAGGUUUCAGUUGGAAAUCACUCACCAUUGGAGCUAGGAAAAACCUCAACUUGAAUGAAAAAAGAAAAUCAUUACAUGCCAAUACUGAGAUGACAGAGACGUUGGAAUUAUCUGAUAAGGAUAAAAUGCCUCAAAGAGCAAUUAUAAGCACACUUGAAAAAUAGAAACUCUGUAUCACACGAUCCUGAAGUCUCACUCCUGGGCAUAUUUCCAAAGAAAAUUCUAAUUCAAAAAGAUACAUGCACUCCAAUGUUCAGAGCAGCACUAUUUUCAAG